CAUGGCUCAGGAUGAACGCUAGCGGCAGGCUUAACACAUGCAAGUCGAGGGGCAUCACGUCUUCGGAUGGUGGCGACCGGCGCACGGGUGCGUAACACGUAUACAACUUGCCCGUCAUAGGGGAAUAACCCGGAGAAAUUCGGACUAAUACCCCGUAAGUAUAGAGGGGGCAUCCUCUUUAUAUUAUAGAUUUAUUGAUGACGGAUAGGUAUGCGCAGCAUUAGGUAGUUGGUGAGGUAACGGCUCACCAAGCCGACGAUGCUUAGGGGAACUGAGAGGUUUAUCCCCCACACUGGUACUGAGACACGGACCAGACUCCUACGGGAGGCAGCAGUGAGGAAUAUUGGUCA
Molecule: ribosomal RNA, 350 nt
Filed under: Bacteroidetes bacterium M3
Lineage: Bacteria; Pseudomonadati; Bacteroidota
Description: bacterial SSU rRNA
Rfam family: Bacterial small subunit ribosomal RNA
Source: RNAcentral